This 293-nucleotide non-coding RNA is filed under the name Anaerococcus prevotii ACS-065-V-Col13. Its description in RNAcentral is "Bacterial small subunit ribosomal RNA". It matches the Rfam family "Bacterial small subunit ribosomal RNA", at positions 1242 to 1533 of the family's 1533-position model. The record is from Rfam by way of RNAcentral. Lineage: Bacteria; Bacillati; Bacillota; Tissierellia; Tissierellales; Peptoniphilaceae.
CAGGGAUGCGAGACUGCGAAGUUAAGCGAAACUCAAAAAGCCUGUCUCAGUUCGGAUUGCACUCUGCAACUCGAGUGCAUGAAGUUGGAGUUGCUAGUAAUCGUGGAUCAGAAUGCCGCGGUGAAUGCGUUCCCGGGUCUUGUACACACCGCCCGUCACACCAUGGAAGUUGGCAAUACCCGAAGCCUGUGAGCUAACCUUUUAGGAAGCAGCAGUCGAAGGUAGGGUCAGUAACUGGGGUGAAGUCGUAACAAGGUAGCCGUAUCGGAAGGUGCGGCUGGAUCACCUCCUUU